GCCUCUCGCGGCCUGUGUCACGCGUGGAUCUGAGUCAUGAAGGGAGCCGCGGGGCCAAACUGUGUGUAUCGUUACUAUUCGCAUGAUGCUUGGAUGUCCCGAGAGCGGGAAGUACCGGCUCGGCCCUCUCUCUGUCCGGAUUCCCGCCUCUUUGAGACAGGGGCGGACAGCGCCACCUCCCAGGCCGUCCGAGCUCCGAAGGGGGCGGCGAGCAGGCCCCGGCCCUCCCUCCGCGCCGCCCUCGCUGCGGCCCCAGCUGCGCUCCCGCCGCGCCCUCCCGAGAGACGAGAGACUGGGCGCAUCGCGAGCCCCUGAGCCCUCAGGACAGGACGAAGUCUGCUUGAACGAGCCUUCCUCAAAAGCCUGGGUCUCGAAAAAUAAACCAGUUGGACAAACAUUGGCCACCAGCUCUCCUCCUCCCAGCUACAAAGUGUGGAUUUGAUACAACUCAUUAACCCGACGCUUUUCUCCCCUUCUCCUUGUUUCUCUGCUCAUCAAACGCCCCGUAGAGCCUGGAGACAAAUGACCGGAGGGCAGGCGGGAGGGAAUUGCAGUUAAUAGGGAGAGGGCUAUAUUGGGGCUAAUGGUUCAGGCGGCUCCCGAGCGAGCAGGACCACACAAAAAGGAGCCUCUCCAUUCAGGGCUCUGUUGUGCUGCCCAGAUGUAAUCUGCAGCUAGAUUUAGCCGAAUGUUAUCUAUUGCCGAGGUAAUGAAGCCCUUAUGGGUUGAAUUGCUCCUUGUCCCACACACGGUGUCGUGACCUUAGAUCGUUUCUUGGUUGAUUUCUUUUUUCUCCAUUGGGCAAUUAUUUUAUUUCUUUAAAAUAAGCUAGCGCGUCUGCUCAAUAACGUGUUUCCUCUCCAUCGCUAUCCCGUGCAUUUAUUUGAGAGCC
Molecule: long non-coding RNA, 892 nt
Filed under: Equus caballus (horse)
Lineage: Eukaryota; Metazoa; Chordata; Mammalia; Perissodactyla; Equidae
Description: lncRNA (ENSECAG00000048063.1)
Source: RNAcentral